Molecule: transfer RNA, 69 nt
Filed under: Ictidomys tridecemlineatus (thirteen-lined ground squirrel)
Lineage: Eukaryota; Metazoa; Chordata; Mammalia; Rodentia; Sciuridae
Description: Spermophilus tridecemlineatus (thirteen-lined ground squirrel) tRNA
Rfam family: tRNA
About the family: Transfer RNA (tRNA) molecules are approximately 80 nucleotides in length. Their secondary structure includes four short double-helical elements and three loops (D, anti-codon, and T loops). Further hydrogen bonds mediate the characteristic L-shaped molecular structure. tRNAs have two regions of fundamental functional importance: the anti-codon, which is responsible for specific mRNA codon recognition, and the 3' end, to which the tRNAs corresponding amino acid is attached (by aminoacyl-tRNA synthetases). tRNAs cope with the degeneracy of the genetic code in two manners: having more than one tRNA (with a specific anti-codon) for a particular amino acid; and 'wobble' base-pairing, i.e. permitting non-standard base-pairing at the 3rd anti-codon position.
Source: Rfam by way of RNAcentral
GGGGCUGUAGCUCAUAGGCAGAGUGCUUGCCUGGCAUGCAUGAGGCACUGGAUUCAAUCCUCAGCACCA